Molecule: ribosomal RNA, 484 nt
Filed under: uncultured bacterium
Lineage: Bacteria
Description: SSU rRNA
Rfam family: Bacterial small subunit ribosomal RNA
Source: RNAcentral
AGGACGAACGCUGGCGGCGUGCUUAACACAUGCAAGUCGAGCGGUGAUCCUCCUUCGGGAGGUGAUCAGCGGCGAACGGGUGAGUAACACGUGGGCAACCUGCCCCUCACACUGGGAUAACCUCGGGAAACCGGGGCUAAUACCGGAUACGACCUCGAGCGGCAUCUCUUGAGGUGGAAAGCUCCGACGGUGAGGGAUGGGCCCGCGGCCUAUCAGCUUGUUGGUGGGGUAAUGGCCUACCAAGGCGACGACGGGUAGCCGGCCUGAGAGGGCGACCGGCCACACUGGGACUGAGACACGGCCCAGACUCCUACGGGAGGCAGCAGUGGGGAAUAUUGCGCAAUGGGCGAAAGCCUGACGCAGCGACGCCGCGUGAGGGAUGGAAGGCCUUCGGGUUGUAAACCUCUUUCAGCAGGGACGAAGCGAAAGUGACGGUACCUGCAGAAGAAGCACCGGCUAACUACGUGCCAGCAGCCGACGGUAA